This is a long non-coding RNA of Vicia villosa (hairy vetch), 601 nucleotides long. RefSeq lists it as uncharacterized. Lineage: Eukaryota; Viridiplantae; Streptophyta; Magnoliopsida; Fabales; Fabaceae. The record is from RefSeq and is a predicted model, not a curated record. The transcript has 3 exons.
CAUUUCUUUUGGAUAAUAAAGAGAUUAGAGCCAAGAAGAAAAGAAGAACUCAUAACUCAAGUCCCAUUUUCGUAUUCCAUGGACAGCCUUCACUAAAAGUGCCAUAACUCUCUGCUCACAACUCUGAUUCAGAAAAACGAGUUUGAAGUUGGAAGCUCCAUGCUGUAUGUGUGUCAAAGUGUGAUUACGGGUUUGAUGAGGAUGGAGUGGAACUUUGACUAUGGUGGGAGUUCAAUGGCAGCAAACAGCAUGAUCUUAACCUCCAUUAAAUCCAAGGUGCAGUUUAGUAGUGUUUGGUCAGUAGCAGGUUUGGACUGAAGACUUGGAAGUGGUGAUGGCUCAGAGACCUCGUCAGAUCUCAUUUUCCGCUGUGCAAGAUCCAUUGAAGACACAUGUUUUGUAAUUAUUAUUAUUAUUUCAUGUUGUAUUCUAAAUGGAUCAUCUUGUAUCCUUAGCUUUUGUAUGUACUCAAUAUCAAUUUUAACGUUUCAUGCAUAAUAUACUAGUCAGUUAUGUAUGGGGUGUUACAUAAAAUAUUUAGGAAACAAAUAAUAUUAAUUAUAAUAUAUUUUGUUGAAUACUUGUAAUUAUAUCCUUUACU